GGCGCUGGAGAACUGAGGGGGGCUGCUCCUAGUACGAGAGGACCGGAGUGGACGCAUCACUGGUGUUCGGGUUGUCAUGCCAAUGGCACUGCCCGGUAGCUAAAUGCGGAAGAGAUAAGUGCUGAAAGCAUCUAAGCACGAAACUUGCCCCGAGAUGAGUUCUCCCUGAGACUUAGAGUCUCCUGAAGGAACGUUGAAGACGACGACGUUGAUAGGCCGGGUGUGUAAGCGCAGCGAUGCGUUGAGCUAACCGGUACUAAUGAACCGUGAGGCUUAACCUUACAACGCCGAAGCUGUU
RNAcentral lists this ribosomal RNA (298 nucleotides) under Escherichia coli. RNAcentral's name for it is "partial 23S ribosomal RNA". It matches the Rfam family "Bacterial large subunit ribosomal RNA", at positions 2650 to 2925 of the family's 2925-position model. Lineage: Bacteria; Pseudomonadati; Pseudomonadota; Gammaproteobacteria; Enterobacterales; Enterobacteriaceae. The record is from RNAcentral.